RNAcentral lists this long non-coding RNA (12981 nucleotides) under Vitis vinifera (wine grape). Its description in RNAcentral is "long non-coding RNA (VVIN_LNC003377)". The record is from RNAcentral. Lineage: Eukaryota; Viridiplantae; Streptophyta; Magnoliopsida; Vitales; Vitaceae.
GGCAACCAGUGAGGAGCAAAGUCAUAGAUGAGCCAGUUGACAUCGGAGUUCUGUAGAAACUCAGUGAGAGGGAGUUGGAGCUGGUCGUAGGCUCGUUUCAGAUUCGGGAAUAGGUGGAAUGGCAACUCGGAGGUGGACUCGGCGGAGUCGGGCAAGCCAUGGACGGCAGGCAGAGGCAGUGGCAGUCGUACCAUGGUUACAAGUGAGGAUAAAUUUGGAAUUUGAGAGAGGCGACGAAGGUUUUUAGGGGUGGAGAGGAAGGAAAUGCGGUGACCCCUUUGAACUAAGUGGCUGGAGAGAUGAAGAAAAGGUAAGAAGUGGCCAAAGGCCAGCCAUGGGAACACAGCUAUGUGAAGCUUCUGAUGCUCUUUCUUCAUCUCAUCCAUGGCAAUGGAGUUGUGAGUUGUGAGAGAAAUGAUCAAGAUUCAAAACUUUGGGUAGAGCAGUGAUGUGAAGUUGCAGAAAGAGUUGUCGACUUGUGCUCAUCAUCAAAGGAGCAGCGCACCAUGGAUGGAUGUCCCGCUGUACUUUUAUUGGACCCUUAUCGUUAAAUCCUAUCACUCAUCCCCGCAAUGGUAAGCCAAGGGGAAAAAGUGUGUUUUGGUGAGAGGGUUUUGAAAAAAGAAAGAAAAAGGAAGAUAAAAUCCUUUAAAAAAUAAUUAAAAUUUUCAUUUCAUCAUCUCUCCUGUUAAACAAAUAUUCGAUUUUUAUAUUAAAAUAUAAAAAAUUUGAUUUAAUUAAAAUUUUAUUUUCAAAUUAUUUAAUCUUUACAUCAGAUAAUUAAAAUAAGUUAAAUGACUUUUAAAUAACAUAUGAAAAUAAUUUAUUAAUUAAAUUUUUUUUUUCUUCCAAUUUUUUCUUCUUAGAGACACAACUUUUCCCAUGAGAAAAGGUAGGAUCUUAAUUAUUGAGCGUGGCGGUGAGAUUUUGAAAUGAAAAUUGAUGGUCCUUGGAAACUAUUACCCGACUUGAAAUAGUUUUCUAUAUGCUAAAAUGAUUAAAUGAAAUAAUUUUUUUUGAGAUUUUAAAAAAAAAUAUAUAUUGUUUUUGGGAAUAAAAUUGAGAUAUCUUCAAUUAUAUUUUAAAAGUGUUUCAAAAAAUAAUUUACAAGAAUUAAUUUUUUUUUACAUUAUACAUUAUGUGCACAAAAUUCAUGAAAAAUAAUUAAAUUUUUUUUUUUCAAUGUUUUCAGAAUUGGAUUAAUCAUUAAAUUGAAAAGUUAUGGAUUUAUGGUUCAAUAGUUUGAUUGAUAGUUAAAUCGCGAUUGAACUGGUGAUGUAAUAAAUAUAUAAUUUAUAUAUUAUAUAAAAUUAAAAUUAUUUAUAAAAUUUAAUAUUAAAAAAUAAUAAUAAUUCAUUUUUAUAUAAUUCAUUUUAUCAAAUUAAAUUGGUAAUAAUAAAUAUAAAUAUAUUAAUAUUUUAAAUUUUAUUAAUUAAAAUAAUACACAUAUAAUAUUUUAAAGAAAAAUUAUAUGUUUAAAAUUGUAUAUUUUUUAUUUUAUAAUAUUUAAAAACAUUAUAUUAUUCUCAUAAAUAUUAUUAUAUAAUAAGUAUAAUUAUUUAAGGGUUUUAAAUAAUAAAAAUUUGAAAGAAGCAUUACUUUCCAAAUCCCAAUAGUCUAACAAUGCUUUUGAUAAGUUGGAGGUCCGAGGGUGAGUCCUCAGACAAACAGAAAAAAAAAAAAAAAGCUCAUGGAUCAUAAGCAAUAGGGCCUAUGAGGCUUGGCUUGGAUGGAAUAAUUAGAUAAUUCAAAAAUUAAGUUUAUUCUAUUAAUGUUUCCAUAAAUUACAAUAUUAUUAGAGAAAUUUUCAUGUGUGACAAAAUAAUAUUGUUAGAAUCACUUUAAAAAAUUCAAAACUAUAUUAUGAAAAAAAAAAAAAAAAAACAAUUAUGCCACUGUAAACCUCAUUUUUUUGUGUAGUUUUUUUAUUAUUUUUGUAGCACUUUGCUGUCAGCGUGUUUUAGAGUGGGGGACGACUGUGAGUUACAUGCAUGGGACAUGUGCCAAGACACCACCACCUUGCCAUGGUGGUAGUUGAGAUGGGGACUCCUUUUGAACAGAUGACAGAGGAGUGGGUGGUGAGCAGUAAAAUUGGUGAAGACUGGAGGUGAAAGAAAAACAGAGCAUGGGUGGGCUGUUUUGAGGGGGUACCAGCUAUGAAGAAGGGAGGGAGAAAAACGAGCAGCGGAGGGGGAUUUUUCUGGGAGAAAAAUCUGGAGAGUGGGUGCUGGGUUUUUGUGGCAGCUGAGGGAUUUUAGAAAGAAAAAGAAGAAGAGAGGUGAGCUGAAAUUUGGGGGGGCGGUGGGGGAACGCGUCUGAAAAUAGAGCAAGAGGAGAGGUGGAGUGAAAACGGGGAGAACGGUUUUUUUGAAAGAAAACAGAGCAAGAGGAAGGUUGUCCACGGGUGAGCGGUUUUUGAGGGAGGCGCCUGAAAACAGAGCAAGGGGAGAGCUGGAAGGAGAAACGGAGGACGUUUUUUUUAAGGAAAAAACAGGCAGCAACUGGAGAGAGAGAUCUAGGAGAAAAACGGAGCACUUGAAGCCAAGUGUGCUUGGCUCAAGAGGAGACACCCAUGUUCAUUGUGAACCGUGUAUUUUCUUAUUUUUGGAUGCCAUUUUACCUGAUGUCUCUGUUAACUUUUGGGUCGUUCUUGCUGGUCCUUCCAUGUUCGUUUCCUUGGCUUACCUUGAAAACUGGUGAGGUUUUUUUUAUCAUGUUCAUUGCGGGGCAUUCUGAAGAUCAACGCAUUUGCUCUACUGGGUGUCAUAUCUGCAUUGUAUUUGUUUUUGGCUUUUGCCUAUUCUGUUCUUCUUUGCAACAUACAUAUAUAUAUAUAUAUAAAAUGAAAGAUAUGGUAGUGUGCUCGAUGGGAGUGAACAGAGUAGGGCAGUCCCACAUAGAUUUUGUUGGGGAACGGAUUUAAAAGUAUGGAAAUCACACCCCUUUUUUUUAGGUUUCUAGGAUUUUUGAGUUUCGGGCUAGGUGGGUUUCUUCUUUUGGUUGGUUUUGCCACUCCAAAUGGCUCUCGUUCCACACUUUUUGAUUCACGUUCAGCAUUUCUCUACUUAGGCCUAUGUUUGGUGGCUGGGAAUUUAUAAGAAACUGAUUUUAGGAUCUGGGUAUUUGGUUAUAUGAGAUGAUCUUAAGAACUGUUUGAGGUUUCUACAAACUGCCUUGCAUUUUCAUAUUAUAAACCCAACACCUCUGGUUUGUUGGAAAUGAGUUUGAAAAAAUAAUAAUUGAGCAACUUGGGGCUUAAUUAAAAGUGUGACCCACAUUCCGAAAAUGUCGGGACCAUGCACCAACGCGUUCUCCUCCGUAAGAGUAUAACGUGGUAUAUUUAUUUGUUCAAAUCCAUUAAGUAUUGAAUGAGAAAAUUGACUCCAAAGUCACCCACUUGAAAUUAUAUAUUUAAGGAAACUUGGUAUAAACUUACCAUAAACACUUUAUCCCACGUAGGAAGGAAGUGUGAGGGGAAUGUGAAGAGUUUAUAUAUUGAAUUUUUGCACUAUAGGAACGGCCCAAGGGGCACCCUAAGUUUGUAAAGGGGAGGACCUACAUGGGUGUAGGCUUGUGUGGGUUUAACCCACACGGGCGCAGCCGCCCGGGCCCAUGGGUCUUGGGCUUGGGCUUGCUAUAUAUAUAUAUAAUUUUUGGGCAAAAAUCAUUUAAGUUUCUGGGUCGGGGUUAUCCGUUGGCUUUUCAUAAUUAAGAUUCAUUGUUAGAGUGUGCCUAUUCCGAACAGGUUCAUGACUAUUCCAAACAGGUACGUGUCUAUUCCGAAUAGGUUUAUACCUAUUCUAAACAGACACUAGGAAGUCUAUAAAUAGACUUUCUACCUCGGCAUUAAUAAAAUAAAAAAAAAAUUCAAUCAAUUCCUGCAUAUUUCUCUCUCUCCUCUUUGCAUCCUUUGUCAGUUCGAGUACAAAAUACAAGUUGUGUUCGUGGUGUUCUACAGAUUGAAGUGCUGCUUUUGUAGAACUGAAAAUCCGUUCUAUCUUGGGAGACAUUUAUUCACUACUUGAGCACCAGAGAGGGAAUAAAAUUGUCUUAAAGAAACAGUGUUGUCAUUGGGCUCGAAUUCAUAGAAUUAAAGUAAGUUCUGUAAUUUCAUUUAUUUUAUUUACAUACUUAUUUAAUGUUUACUUAAAGUAUAAACUGUAAAAAGAUUUUAUUGUUAACAUGGUUUGCUUUUUGCAUCUACUCCCCUUCAUUUUUAUGUAAUUCACCAUUCUCUUCCUCUACAAAGAAUCAAACAUGGCAUUCACAAUUUGAAAAGCUUGACCCAUCAAAAACAAUACAUCGAGGCCCUCAAACGCACCACACAAGAGCCACGUGUCAUCCUUUUUCUUUUUUCUUUUUCCUUCUUUUGAUAUUAAAAUUUUAUUUAUUUUUUAUUUUUUAUUUCUCCAUUCUCCAAUAAUUCAUCAAAAUUCCAAUUUUUAAAUUUAAUUUUCAAGAUUUUAAUUUUAAUUUAAUUUUCAAAACUCCAAUUUUUAAGUUUAAUUUUCAAAACUUCAAUUUUUAAAUCUAAUUUUCAAAAAUCUAAUUUUCCAAACUUUAAUUUUCAAAUUUAAAUUUUAAAAUUUCAAAUUUUAAAUAAUUUUCCAAAACUUCAAUUUUCAAAAUUCUCAAAUUCAUUUAUUUAAUAAUAAUAAUAAUAAUUAUUAUUAUUAUAUUUAUUUAUUUAUUUUUUAAAUUCCACUAUCAAAUAAUUCUUCAAAAUUCCAUUUUCUUAAAUUUAGUUUUCAAACUUCCAUUUUAAAAAUUUUUUGAAAUUUCGAUUAUUAAAUUUAAUUUUUUAAACUUCCAUUUUUAAUUAAUUAUUCAAAUUUUAAUUUUCACAUUUAUUUAUUUAAUUAUUGCUAUUAUUAUUAUUUUAUUUUAUUUUUUUAUUUUUAAAUUACAUUCUCAAAUAAUUCUUCAAAUUUUCAUUUUUUUUAAAUUUAAUCUUCAAGAUUUCCAUUUUCAAAUAAUUCUUUUUUAAAAUUUCAAAUAAUUUCAGAACUUUAAUUUUCUUUCAAAUAAUCUUAAUUUCACUCCAAUUUUCAAAUAUUUUUUUAAUUAACCACUUUUUAUCCUUACUAAAAAUUCUAUUUUUAAAUAAACUUGCUAUAUUUCCUUUCAGGGAAGCACCAUAAAUUUUCUUCGAUUUUAAAAUAAUUUUCCGUUUUUCUUGAUUUCUAACAAGCAUGAAGACAAUUUUCAUAAUUCCAAAAUAAUGGAAUUUGUGGGAUUAAUUUAUACAAAAUCAAUUGGGCUUUGGUGGGGCCCAACAUUCAUAACAUUUGUUUUUAAAAUAAUUUAAGUGAAUUGUAUAGUUAAUAUUGUUUGAUUUUGAUUGGUUUUAUGUGAAAUAUUUUACACUUAUCAUUGUACACCAACCUUGUUUCAUGAUAACACUUUAUUAUAUGUUGUCAAGCUACGAUCUUAUUCCUACUUUGCUUAUUCCUAUGCAUGAUUCGUUUUAUUAUUUGAUCUAUGAUCAUUUUGAUAUUUGUUGAUUUCUUUAUCAAUUAUCACACUUACUUCACCUUAUUUAGUAGAAACCAAUUUUUAAGAGCUUAGAGGAUCCUACGAUUUUUAUCGUACAUUUCCAAUAAGUAAUCUGAUCUUACCUUCAAAUUCUGAUAUUAUCUUCAAUUAGACAAUUUUUCUUAAAACUUCACUAAGAAACACAAUAUCAAAUUUGCUUAUUAUACGUUCUCCUUAUAUACCUCAAAAACCUAAGGGUUCCUUUGUUAGGUUUGUCCAUGAAAGGUGAGUCAAAGCCUAAGAUCAAGUCGAAAGGCAUAGUUGAUGGGUAAUAAGUGAAUAUUCUUGUAUUAUCCCUUGUUAGUCUCGAAAAAUCGAAAAGCAACCCCAUUUUUCACCUUAAAUUAAUCAAAAUAAGUAAAAUUUCUUGCUUUUUGUAAAUGAGUAGAUUUAAUAACUAGGGGUCUAUGGCUAACUGAUAUAAAAUAAUUUAAAUAAAAAAUAUACAAAAUCUAAUCAUUAAUAACCCUGAAUUAAAAUUAAGAAAAUUAUCUUCAAAAGAAUAUGUGCUAAUAGCAUAUUAUAAAAUAAUGAGUAAACUAAAAAUAAAAGAAAGUAAAAAAAAAAGAAGAUGGAGAGAAUUUGAGACGAUGUUUUUUUAGAGAAGGAUGUUAAUACGUGGAUGGAACAAUGCUUUUAUAAGCUUACGUAAAGAAAAAGUAGAUAUCUCCAUUAACUUACUGUUAAUAGAUCAAGUAGAUUUAGUUACUACUGAGUCAUUUUCAAGCACCCGAGUGAACUCAUCUAAAUAUUUGGUUUGCAACUUCACAUUUCCAAAGAUUUCCCUCAUUGCCCAUGCAUUUCUCCUAAGUUGCUCUCCUUCUUCUUCCACCAUAACUCGUUUUAUUGACUUACUCACUGAGUCGCCUGUAAAUGAUCCAUCUCGCUUGUCCCUCGGUACUUCCAACCCGACUCGCUUGCCUUCAAGGAGUCUUGCCACCAACCCCAGAUCUGAAGAAGGCCCGGGGAAAAGAAUCAGCACCCGACCCAACCCGAGAGCCUCGAUCACGGAGCUCCAUCCACAGUGGGUCAAGAAUCCACGAACUGAUGGGUGAGCCAAGAUUUGCUUUUGUGGAGCCCAAUUGGCCCAAACUAAACCACGACCUGAAACCCGACCCUCAAACCCGGUUAUAAUCGGAUCAUCUUUGGUUUUAACCACCCAAAUGAAGGGUAAGCCGGAUUUCUCUAUUCCAGAUGCCAACUCGUUCAUUUCGUCCUGACUCAGAGUCAACUCACUACCGAGUGCAACGUAAAGGACGGAGUUUUCGGUUUUCUCGUCAAGCCAUUGUCUUAACGAGCCCCAGCUCUCGUCUCCCUCGCUGUCGUUCACCUCCGUCGGAAGCAACCCUAUCGGAACGACAGGCUUUUGGUAGAGAUUUUCGAGGAGACUCAGUGAAUCACCCUCUAACUCGGCGCAGCUCCUGGUAGCUACAAAUCGGCAGCCUUCAAUCACCUUUGCCAAUCGGAAGAAAUCGGAAGCUUCCGAGUCCAUGCAGUCCUGGAUGCGGGUCACCUCGUGGAUCCUGAAAGCGACGGUGGACGGAAACGGGAUCCACUCAGGAACCACGGUUAAGUUCUCCACCUGCUGUUGACAGCGGCGGAGAAUCUCCUCCGGCGAGCCCAUGAAAGCGAGUGUGCUGGCAUUGAAAAUGCUGAAGAAGACUGAGUUGAUACCGAGUCGAGAGGCGAUUGGGGGCAACCAGUGAGGAGCAAAGUCAUAGAUGAGCCAGUUGACAUCGGAGUUGUGUAGAAACUGAGUGAGAGGGAGUUGGAGCUGGUCGUAGGCUCGUUUCAGAUAGGGGACUAGGUGGAAGGGCAACUCGGAGGUGGACUCGGCGGAGUCGGGCAAGCCAUGGACGGGAGACAGAGGCAGUGGCACCAUGGUUACAAGCGAGGAUAAAUUUGGAGCAAUUUGAGAGAGGCGACGAAGGUUUUUAGGGGUGGAGAGGAAGGAAAUGCGGUGACCCAUUUGAACUAAGUGGUUGGAGAGAUGAAGAAAAGGCAAGAAGUGGCCAAAUGCCAGCCAUGGGAACACAGCUAUGUGAAGCUUCUGAUGCUCCUUCUUCAUCUCAUCCAUGGCAAUGGGGUUGUGAGUUGUGAGAGAAAUCAAGAUUCAAGACUUCUGGGUAGCGCAGUGAUGUGAGGCUGAAAAGGAGUUGUUAUCGCCAUCCAAGGAGCACUAUACCGAACGAGGGAUGUCCCACCACAGCUUUGUUCUUUGGUGCCCAUUGUUAUUUUGGGUACCCACCCAGACUCCAGUAAUAAAGUGACACGUGUAAAGUGUAUUCAAGUAACUUAUCAAACCGACAAGAUGAAUUAUUGAUCGGAAAUAAUCACAUGCAUAUCAAUCAUAUCUACAUAUUAUAACUUUUUUAUAAUUUAUUAUUAAAUAUCAAAUAUAAUUUCUUAUUUAAUGAACAAUAAAACAUUUAUUUAAAGAAAAAAAAAAAGCUACCGAGUUACCCUUAUACUCUCACUAUUCAAACAUAUAAAAAGGGUACUAAUUUAAUAUGAAAAUUAGGUCAACUAAUGCAUUGAAAAAAAUGGGGAUGUGUUUUGAUAAAACACAUUUGAAUGUCAAGUUCAAAACUUUUUGAGGAAGAAAAGAAAAAAAUUUGUAUUCCUUGAUGAAGAUCAAGGAUUUCAAGUGAUUAUAAGUGUCAAAAGUAAUAUUUGAUUGUUUUUUUUAUUUAAAUAUGAAUUAUGUAGGUAGAAAUGUUAUGUUAAAUAAUAAAUAUGUAAUAAUUUUAUAAUUUUUUAUGAGCUUAUUAUUAAUCAAAUGAGGAUGAUUUAAUAUUAUGUUAUCAAAUUACUAUUAAUAUUUUUAUAUUAUUUUUUUUGUGUGUUGAUAGAUUAGAUUUGAAGAUGAAGUUUUAUGUCUUGCAAAGGGAAAACAAGAAUUUUUGUUUCUUAAGAAGAUAUCAUAUGAAGGAUUUCAAGUGAUUACAACUGUUAAAUGUAACAUUUGAUAUGUUUUUUUUGUUUAUUUAAAUAUAAAUUUUGAAAGUAACAAUGUCAUGUUAAAUAGCAUUUAAAUAUGCAAUGAUUCGAUUUAGAUUUUAAAUUUUUUAUGAGUUAUUAUUAAUCAAAUUGAGACAAUUUAGUCAUUUGUCAUGAAAUUGUCAUCAAUAUUUUAUAUCAUUUUUUUGUGUAUUCAUAUAUUAAAUUUGAAGAUGAAGUUUUAUAUAUCUUGAAGAAGGAAAAUAAGAAUUUUUGUUUCUCAAGAAGAUAUUAUAUUAAGGAUUCCAAGUUAUUACAAGUAUUAAAUGUAAAAUUUGAUUCUUUUUUUUUUAAUUUAAAUAUAAAUUUUGUAGGUAGAAAUGUCGUGUUAAAAAGCAAUUGUUUUAAAUAUGUGAGAGGGGAUAUGAACAAUGUGAGAGAUAGUAUAAAUAGUAUGAGAGAAGGUAUAAGCAAUGUGAGAAGGUGUACAAAAAAUGUGAAAAGGGUAUAAACAAUGUAAGACAAUGUACAAACAAUGUGAUAAGGAGUACGAAUAAUGUNNNNNNNNNNNNNNNNNNNNNNNNNNNNNNNNNNNNNNNNNNNNNNNNNNNNNNNNNNNNNNNNNNNNNNNNNNNNNNNNNNNNNNNNNNNNNNNNNNNNGAAUAAUGUGAGAGGGGGUAUAACAAUAUGAGAUGAGAUACGGACAGUGUCAGAGAAUGUACGAACAUUGUAAAAGAUGAUAUAAACAAUGUGAGAUGAAAUACGAACAGUAUGAGAGAAGGUAUGAACAUUGUAAAAGAUGAUAUAAACAAUGUGAGAUGAGAUACGAACAGUGUGAAAAAAGGUACGAGCAUUGUAAAAGAUUAUAACAAAUAAUAUGAGAGAUGGUACGAACAAUGUGAGAAAUGAUACAAACAAUGUAAGAGAGUACAAAUAAUGUGAGAUGAGGUACGAAUAAUGUGAUAAAUGAUACAAACAAUGUAAGAGAGUACAAAUAGUAUGAACAAUGUGAGAGAGGUACAAACAAUGUGAGAGAUGAUAUGAAUAUUGUAAAAGAUUGUAUGAACAUUGUGAGAGAUUGUACAAACAUUAUAAGAAAUAGUACGAACAUUGUGAGAUGGUGUACAAAUAUUGUGAGAUAGAGUAUGAAUAAUGUGAGAGAUAGUACAAACAUAAUGAGAGAUGGUACAAAGAUUGUAAUAGAGACUAUGAACAAUGUGAAAAAGGGUUGAACAUUAUGAGAUGGGGUACAAAGAAUGUGAGAGAUGAUAUGAAUAUUGUAAGAGAUUGUAUGAACAUUGUGAGAGAUUGUACAAACAUUAUAAGAAAUAAUACGAACAUUGUGAGAUAGAGUAUGAACAAUGUGAGAGAUAGUACAAACAUAAUGAGAGAUGGUACAAAGAUUGUAAUAGAGACUAUGAACAAUGUGAAAAAAGGUUGAACAUUGUGAGAGAGUGUACAAACAAUGUAAGAGGGGUAUGAACAAUUUUAUUAAACAAAUUAAAAUAAUUUAAUUAUUUGUUAUCAAAUUCAAUAUUUUUAUAUCAUUUUUUUUUUUGUAUUUAGGGAUUAUAAAAUAUUAUUAUUAUCCUUAUUAUAUAUAUAUAUAUAUAAAUGAAAGAAUUUGAGAAAUGAUAUGAAACAUGUGAAACAAGGUAUGAAAUGAUAUAAAAAUAUUUAUUUAAAAAAAAACCAAAUUGAUAACAAGUAUGACUAAAUAAUGUAAUUUUCUAACUACUUUUUCUUUUAUAUUUCAGUUCCUUCAUGGAUAUGAUAGACAAAGGCAAAGGAAAUGAAUUCAUCAUCGAUUUGAAGGAUGAAGACUUUGACUACCAAUAUGAUAGUAAUGUGAAAACUGAGUUUGAUGAAGAGUCCAUGUUAGGAAUCUUCACAUUUUUUUGUACUCUUCCCAAAAUUUCAAGUAUUUUUAUGUUUAAAUUUUUUUGUGCAUAAUUUACAUCAAUCAUAAGUGUAAUUAGUAUUUUUAAAUAAUAUCAUAACUAUUGAAAGUGGGAAAAAAUUCUUAAAAAUCAAAGAAGUCAAAAUUUUGGAGGAUACGAAAAAUGUAAGAAAUCCUUAUAUUCUUUGUACUUUCUCUUUAUUUCAUGUUUUUUUUUAAAUUUUGAUAUUUUUCUCCUAAUAUUCCUUCAUUUGUGACUCAAUUAAGCUAUUUUAUUGUUAUUUUUAAUGAAAAAUUAAAUCUUAAAAAUUUUUCAAAUAUAAAAUUUGGAGGAUAGGAAAAAAAUGUGAGAAUGUUACAAAUCAUACCCUUUUCAAUUUAAUUUUUUUAGCCAAAUAAUCUAUCAUUCUUGACUCAGUAAAGUUGUUUUAUUGUUAUUUAGAGUAAAAAAAUAAAUCCUAAAAAUGAUCAACAUGUAACAUUUUUAUGAUUUUUAUUAUAAAGUGUUACUAGGAAUACCAUCUUUUUAUGAUUCAAUUUUACAUUCGUGAAAUAAGAGUAAUAGUAUUGUUUGAUGAGUCAUGCUAAAAACGACUAAAUUAAGUUUAUAUGGUUUUUAUAAUUAUAUUCAAAUAUGUUAUAGCUAAUGUUAUAUAAAAUAUAAUGGAAUUUAAAUGUGUUGUAGUUUUAAUUUCAUAUAAUUAAUCAAAUUUUUUAUAAUUGAUCAUGGUCCAAUUACCUAAUACCUUUGUUUAACCUAUGCUCAAAAUGUUGAAUAUCAAUACAAAUAUUAAUUCCAUAUUAAAACAUCACCAUAUUCAUUUUUAUGUUCGUAAAAAUCAAUAUUCAUGAGGAGCUUACAAACUAAGUGAAUUCAAAUGUUUUACAAAUUUUAUACCAAUUUCAUUUUUAUUUUUAUCCAAUUCUAUUUUUUUUUUAUCUCAUUUAAUUAUUUCAUAUAAACCCAAAAUUGUUUGUUUAAAUACAAUUAUCCAUUAUCCAUUCAUCUUGAAACCCAUUUAUCUCAUCUCAUCAUUUCAUCUUGAAAAAUGAAUGGAACGACUGUUUCCUGCCAAAUAAUGGAUCCAAUGGCUACUAUGUGAUGAGGUGUGAUUGGAUGUUUUUGAUAUAUUCCAACGGCUACAAUGAUGAAUGUGAAGAGAAAAAAUGGAAGAAAAUGGACAAAAUGAAAUCAUGAGGGAGAGAAAGAAAGAGGAAGAAGAGACAAAUGAAGAAGAGGGAAUGGAGGAACCAGUUACUCCUUUAAUAGGUUAUCUUGUUUGUUUUUUUUUUUUUUUUAAAUUUAAAAUGGAUGGCCAAGAUCUAAUGACUAGAGAAUUUUUUUGGUACUAUAGAAUUUUCCAUCCCAUAAAUCCUAUUACUUUUCCCCCACAAUGGGUAAGCCAAGGGGAAGAAGUGUGUUUUGGUGGGAGAGUUUUGAAAAUGAAGGGAAGAAUCCUUAAAAAAAAAAAAAAUAGAAAAAUAAUUUUCUCUUUGAUUUUUACAUAAAAAUAUAUAUAAAAAAUCAAAUAUAAUAAAAAUUAAUUAAAAAUUUAUAAAUUUUUAAAUUAUUUAAUCUUUAUAGAAAAAGUAAAACGAGUUUGAAAUAUCGUAUAAAAAUAAUUUAUUAACUUUAAAUCAAUUUAUUUAUUUUUCCACUUUUUAUUUCCUUUCACUUUCUUUUUAUUUUAUUUCUCUUAUAUAUUCCCUUAAAUUUUUAUGAACCAAAUAUAACUUAAAAGCUUAAUAUAUCCCAAUAAAAAAAAUAUUAUUUGCAUUAAUAUUUAUAAUCCACCUUUAAUUUAAAAAUAUGUAAAACAAUAAUAGAUAUUUUGUGUUGGACGUCAUUUGUCUUAUCCGGGCUGAGCCGUGGAGUAUAUUUGGCUCUGUGGGAUGCUCGAGUCCGGAGACUACACGUUUCCCCACAAAGUGGCCUCCCCAGGAUUUGAACUCAAGACCUUAAGGUCUUUUGGUUUGCCCUNNNNNNNNNNNNNNNNNNNNNNNNNNNNNNNNNNNNNNNNNNNNNNNNNNNNNNNNNNNNNNAUUUUGGAAUCACAUAUUUUGGCAUAUUAAAACACAACUUUUCCCAUGGAAAAAGGCAUGAUGGUCCAAUUACCUAAUACCUUUAUUUAACCUAUGCUCAAAAUGUUGAAUAUCAAUACAAAUAUUAAUUCCAUAUUAAAACAUCACCAUAUUCAUUUUUAUGUUCGUAAAAAUCAAUAUUCAUGAGGGAGCUUACAAACUAAGUGAAUUCAAAUGUUUUACAAAUUUUAUACCAAUUUCAUUUUUAUUUUUAUCCAAUUCUAUUUAUUUUUAUCUCAUGAAGGGCAACUCGGAGGUGGACUCGACGGAGUCGGGCAAGCCAUGGACGGGAGGCAGAGGCAGUGGCACCAUGGUUACAAGUGAUGAUAAAUUUGGAGCAAUUUGAGAGAGGCGACAAAGGUUUUUAGGGGUGGAGAGAAGGGAAAUGCGGUGACCCAUUUGAACUAAGUGGUUGGAGAGAUGAAAAAAAGGCAAGAAGUGGCCAAAUGCCAGCCAUGGAAACACAGCUAUGUGAAGCUUCUGAUGCUCCUUCUUCAUCUCAUCCAUGGCAAUAGGGUUGUGAG